CCGCCGAGACCACACGCGCACCGCGUGCUGACAAGACCGCUCUUCUUCCUACACAUCGAGUUGCGCAGCGGACGCGUGUUCUCUCUCUUCGUUUCUCGUUUCGCCGCCGUUGCCCGCCUUAAAAAAGACCUGCUCGAGAAGCCGACGUUGGCGAUACACUUGGAUCCUCAUGAUAUGCGCCGCGGUCGCGGCGGCGGUGGCCGUUGAGGCUGCGAUGAGGGUGAGCAUGGAGGGCGUGGCAGUGACCGUGAUGGCGGCAACAUGCGCGAGUGCCACAGCCGCGAGAACUAGGUCAUCGACGUUGCCAAGGAGAACGCGUGAACGCUGGCGAGCGCGUCAGACCCAGUCGAGACGAACUGCUUUCCGAUUGAUUUCUCUGAAGGCGAGCUCCACAACUACGCCAGGUCCUACGAGUUCUCGGAGAGGCGCAAGGACACUAUUAGUGCUCUAACGUGGCGACAUGACGGACGCUGAGGCCACCUUCACGGCGAACAUGGAGCAGGUGCUUGCAGGCUGGGACACGACGACGGUGCCCGCGCAGCUCCGCUCGCACUUCGGCAUGCUGGGAGUUCUCACGACGAUGCUUCCACGUGAGGUCAGAGGCUACACUGGCCUCAGCAACGCCUCCUACGGCUUUUCCACGACGGUGUAUCGUAUUCUCUUCGCUGAUGCCGAUCUCUACAGAGCGGUGGACUCCUUGUGGAGCGCGAACUGCUCCUUCGGGGCAUGGCUCGUACACCUACUACCUCGCGCAGAAGCGUGCCGCCUCCCUCUCGCUAAUGGGCCUUCAACAGCUGACGCAUAACAUGUGCUUCAUGUACCCGAACAAGCCAGACACGCUUCCGUUGCCAUUGCCUAUCAGCUGCGCCUACGAGUACCCGCGCAAGUACGACUCGCUAAAGGCAUUGAGGGAGCUUCCCAAGAGUAUGCAUGCCACGAUGCACGACCUUUAAGGCGACGCGAAGCGACGUGCAAGGGUGGGCAAAGGCCGUGACGCACUUGCUUCCAUGGCGGUGUGUGCGUUCACGCCUUGCCCACCCCCGUAAACUUGCCAAGCUUUCACUGUCAUCGGUGACACUCAUUCCUGUUGCACACAAUUUUUUAUCGUAUUCUCUUUUUCAUCGUCUAACGCCUUUUCAUAUCCGCUUUGAAG
This 1153-nucleotide unclassified non-coding RNA is filed under the name Leishmania donovani. RNAcentral's name for it is "gene:LdHU3.11.0760(CDS-product:hypothetical_prote in)". The record is from RNAcentral. Lineage: Eukaryota; Euglenozoa; Kinetoplastea; Trypanosomatida; Trypanosomatidae.